GCUUGGUCAGUUGAUUCCGGCGGAUUCACCUUCGCAUUUGUAAUGCGCAGGUCCCCGGUUCGAUCCCGGGAGGCGGCU
Molecule: transfer RNA, 78 nt
Filed under: Planctomycetota bacterium
Lineage: Bacteria; Pseudomonadati; Planctomycetota
Also listed under: 1 other name
Description: tRNA-Thr
Source: RNAcentral